GGAUCAUUAAAGAGUUUAAUAAAACUCCUAAACCCCUGUGAACUUACUGGUGUUUGGCUCGCCAGAUAUAGUCUGGUCCGUAAGCAAAUCGACUGCCUGCCUGUGUAACAGGCAGGUAAGCUUUUGUCGCGGGGUCCCGGAUCAACCCGGGCUAGAUAGCCACUUAACUAUAUACUUUUUAUAAAAUCUGUGAACUUACUAGGUUGGAUUCUCGCCAGAGAUAGUCUGGUUUCUGCUUCGCGGAUCGCCUACCCGUGACACCUGUCACAGGCAGGUAUGCUUCUGCCGCGGGUCCGUAAGUAAAUCAUCUGUUUCGCAAGGGACGGCGAUUUACCUGUGGAAGAGGUCCUCUAACUAUAUUCUUAGUAUAGUUUGUUCACUAGAUCAAACAUUCUGAAUAAAAACUUAAACUAGUUAAAACUUUCAACAACGGAUCUCUUGGUUCUGGCAUCGAUGAAGAACGCAGCGAAAUGCGAUAAGUAAUGUGAAUUGCAGAAUUCAGUGAAUCAUCGAAUCUUUGAACGCACAUUGCGCCCAUUAGUAUUCUAGUGGGCAUGCCUGUUCGAGCGUCAUUUCAACCCUUAAGCCCCUGUUGCUUAGCGUUGGGAGCCUACAGCCUGCUGUAGCUCCUUAAAGGUAGUGGCGGAGUCGGUUCACACUCUAGACGUAGUAAAAUCUUUAUCUCGCCUAUGGAUGAGCCGGCGCCUUGCCGUAAAACCCCUAAUCUUUCACAAGGUUGACCUCGGAUCAGGUAGGAAUACCCGCUGAACUUAAGCAUAUCAAUAAGCGGAGGAAAAGAAACCAACAGGGAUUGCCCUAGUAACGGCGAGUGAAGCGGCAACAGCUCAAAUUUGAAAUCUGGCCUUCGGGUCCGAGUUGUAAUUUGCAGAGGAUGCUUUGGGCGCGGUGCCUUCCGAGUUCCCUGGAACGGGACGCCUUAGAGGGUGAGAGCCCCGUACGGUUGGACACCAAGCCUCUGUAAAGCUCCUUCGACGAGUCGAGUAGUUUGGGAAUGCUGCUCUAAAUGGGAGGUAAAUUUCUUCUAAAGCUAAAUAUUGGCCAGAGACCGAUAGCGCACAAGUAGAGUGAUCGAAAGAUGAAAAGCACUUUGAAAAGAGGGUUAAAUAGCACGUGAAAUUGUUGAAAGGGAAGCGUUUACGACCAGACCUUUUCGCAGCGGAUCAUCCGGUGUUCUCACCGGUGCACUUCGCUGGGUUGAGGCCAGCAUCGGUUUCCGCAGGGGGAUAAAAGCCUGGGGAACGUAGCUCCCUCGGGAGUGUUAUAGCCCCUCGCAUAAUACCCUUGCGGGGACCGAGGACCGCG
RNAcentral lists this ribosomal RNA (1323 nucleotides) under Xylaria sp. genotype 263. RNAcentral's name for it is "eukaryotic LSU rRNA". The stretch from base 738 to 1323 matches the Rfam family "Eukaryotic large subunit ribosomal RNA", at positions 1 to 597 of the family's 3401-position model. Lineage: Eukaryota; Fungi; Ascomycota; Sordariomycetes; Xylariales; Xylariaceae. The record is from RNAcentral.